This 93-nucleotide transfer RNA is filed under the name Bacilli bacterium. Its description in RNAcentral is "tRNA-Ser". It matches the Rfam family "tRNA". From Rfam's summary of the family: Transfer RNA (tRNA) molecules are approximately 80 nucleotides in length. Their secondary structure includes four short double-helical elements and three loops (D, anti-codon, and T loops). RNAcentral also lists the same sequence under 2 other names. The record is from RNAcentral. Lineage: Bacteria; Bacillati; Bacillota; Bacilli.
GGAGGCAUACCCAAGAGGCCGAAGGGGACGGUUUGCUAAACCGUUAGAUCGGGAAUACCUGGUGCGAGAGUUCGAAUCUCUCUGCCUCCGCCA